UUAGAGUGGGGGGAAGAAGAAGAAUGGCUAAAGUCCUAAUCAUACAAUAGAUGAAGGAUAAGAAACAAGACCACAAAUGGAGUUCCUCUCUUGAGAUCAUAUUGAUGAUCCAAGUAGCUCCCGUCCUUUGGAAUAUGCAAGCAAAAUAAUUGUAAGCUCAAGCAAUCAACAUAAUCAAUCAAGCUCUUAGAAGAUCCCCA
Molecule: long non-coding RNA, 200 nt
Filed under: Lathyrus oleraceus (garden pea)
Lineage: Eukaryota; Viridiplantae; Streptophyta; Magnoliopsida; Fabales; Fabaceae
Description: Pisum sativum (pea) long non-coding RNA (PSAT_LNC024060)
Source: RNAcentral